RNAcentral lists this ribosomal RNA (429 nucleotides) under Bacteroidota bacterium. RNAcentral's name for it is "Bacteroidetes bacterium partial 16S ribosomal RNA". It matches the Rfam family "Bacterial small subunit ribosomal RNA", at positions 355 to 776 of the family's 1533-position model. The record is from RNAcentral. Lineage: Bacteria; Pseudomonadati; Bacteroidota.
UAGGGAAUCUUCGGCAAUGGGGGGAACCCUGACCGAGCAACGCCGCGUGAGUGAAGAAGGUUUUCGGAUCGUAAAGCUCUGUUGUUAAGGAAGAACGAGUGUGAGAAUGGAAAGUUCAUACUGUGACGGUACUUAACCAGAAAGGGACGGCUAACUAUGUGCCAGCAGCCGCGGUAAUACGUAGGUCCCGAGCGCUGUCCGGAUUUAUUGGGCGUAAAGCGAGCGCAGGCGGUUAGAUAAGUCUGAAGUUAAAGGCAGUGGCUCAACCAUUGUAGGCUUUGGAAACUGUUUAACUUGAGUGCAGAAGGGGAGAGUGGAAUUCCAUGUGUAGCGGUGAAAUGCGUAGAUAUAUGGAGGAACACCGGUGGCGAAAGCGGCUCUCUGGUCUGUAAAUGACGAUGAGGCUCGAAAGCGUGGGGAGCGAACAGG